This 253-nucleotide ribosomal RNA is filed under the name uncultured bacterium. RNAcentral's name for it is "partial 16S ribosomal RNA". It matches the Rfam family "Bacterial small subunit ribosomal RNA", at positions 524 to 776 of the family's 1533-position model. The record is from RNAcentral.
UACGGAGGAUGCAAGCGUUAUCCGGAAUGAUUGGGCGUAAAGCGUCCGCAGGUGGCUGUGUAAGUCUGCUGUUAAAGAGUGAGGCUCAACCUCAUAAAAGCAGUGGAAACUACACGGCUAGAGUGCGUUCGGGGCAGAGGGAAUUCCCGGUGUAGUGGUGGAAUGCGUAGAUAUCGGGAGGAACACCAGUGGCGAAGGCGGCUACCUGGACCGGUUCUGACACUGAGGAGCGAAAGCGUGGGGAGCGAUCCGG